UUAACAAGGGUUCAGUUAUUUUACAAGGGAGAACAAUGGUUCCUCUGACCACUUUUGAUUCAUUGCAUCUCUGGUUUCCAUGGAGCAUCAUAAAAGGAUCUAUGUGUGUGUCAAGAGAAUGGAUGGAGAGAAGCGGCCCCAGGCAAACAGGAGAGGAGGCUUCUGCCUGAUGGGUCUUCAUCCGAAACUCAACAGCAACUCUGACAAAGAGAUGGGAGAUUGUGGAUCUGUGGGCACAACAAGGUCCUUUCAGAAGCCAAUCCCGAAGGAAUCUCCUCACCCAAGCCUCCACAAUACUGUGACGGCGAGAACAGACAUUAAAUAAAGUCCGGCGGUUUGUGGUU
Molecule: long non-coding RNA, 344 nt
Organism: Leptonychotes weddellii (Weddell seal)
Lineage: Eukaryota; Metazoa; Chordata; Mammalia; Carnivora; Phocidae
Source: RefSeq, a predicted model, not a curated record